CCUACGGGUGGCAGCAGUGAGGAAUAUUGGUCAAUGGGCGCAAGCCUGAACCAGCCAUCCCGCGUGCAGGAAGACGGCCCUAUGGGUUGUAAACUGCUUUUCCAGGGGACGAAUAGUUUCUACGUGUAGAGACCUGACGGUACCUUGGGAAUAAGCAUCGGCUAGCUCCGUGCCAGCAGCCGCGGUAAUACGGAGGAUGCAAGCGUUAUCCGGAUUCAUUGGGUUGUAGGGGGGCUAAUAAGUCUUAAGAGAAAUCCUACAGCUUAACUGUAGAACGGCCAUUGAUACUGUUAGUCUUGAGUUUGGUUAAGGUAGGCGGAAUGUGUAAUGUAGCGGUGAAAUGCUUAGAUAUUACACAGAACACCAAUUGCGAAGGCAGCUUACUGGACCGACACUGACGCUGAGGCACGAAAGCGUGGGGAUCGAACAGGAUUAGAUACCCUGGUAGUC
Molecule: ribosomal RNA, 450 nt
Filed under: uncultured bacterium
Lineage: Bacteria
Description: partial 16S ribosomal RNA
Rfam family: Bacterial small subunit ribosomal RNA
Source: RNAcentral